UCUUGAUAAUAUCUAUCAUUUUUAUAAUUCUCUCUUGAAAAUAUUACCUUUCUUUUGAUCCAUCAUAUCUUGUUUGUUCAUAAAAUCUUGAAACUUGUGACUUUAGAACAUUUAAGCAAAGGCUUCCCACCAGACGUUCAAUAACUGAAGUACUGAACAAGAGUAGGAGUAUAUAUAUAAAUGUUUGUUGAUCAUCUAAACAAGGUGUUACCGUGUUUUUAAACACAAACCAUUCAUAUAAUUAGCCUGUCCUCUUCAAACAGUGUAUAGCCUUUGCAAUCUUAACGUCAAAAGAGCCCUGGACGAAAAUCAUCAUCAUCAUCAUCAUCGUUAUCAUCAUCAUCAUACUCAGGAAAUCCCACCAAUAGCAAAGCUAACGUAGGGUCUGAGGAGGAUUUGAGAUGAGGCAGGC
Molecule: long non-coding RNA, 412 nt
Organism: Helianthus annuus (common sunflower)
Lineage: Eukaryota; Viridiplantae; Streptophyta; Magnoliopsida; Asterales; Asteraceae
Exons: 4
Source: RefSeq, a predicted model, not a curated record